CACGUAGGGGGCUAGCGUUGUCCGGAAUCAUUGGGCGUAAAGAGCGUGUAGGCGGCCCGGUAAGUCCGCUGUAAAAGUCAAAGGCUCAACCUUUGAAUGUCAGUGGAUACUGCCGGGCUAGAGUCCGGAAGAGGCGAGUGGAACUCCUGGUGUAGCGGUGGAAUGCGCAGAUAUCAGGAAGAACACCAACGGCGAAGGCAGCUCGCUGGGACGGUACUGACGCUGAGACGCGAAAGCGUGGGGAGCGAACAGG
RNAcentral lists this ribosomal RNA (253 nucleotides) under uncultured bacterium. RNAcentral describes it as "partial 16S ribosomal RNA". It matches the Rfam family "Bacterial small subunit ribosomal RNA", at positions 524 to 776 of the family's 1533-position model. The record is from RNAcentral.